RNAcentral lists this ribosomal RNA (301 nucleotides) under uncultured bacterium. RNAcentral describes it as "partial 16S ribosomal RNA". It matches the Rfam family "Bacterial small subunit ribosomal RNA", at positions 509 to 807 of the family's 1533-position model. The record is from RNAcentral.
CAGUCGCCGCGGGAAUACAGAGGGUGAAAGCGUUAAUCGGAAUUACUGGGCGUAAAGCGCGCGUAGGUGGUUUGUUAAGUUGGAUGUGAAAGCCCCGGGCUCAACCUGGGAACUGCAUCCAAAACUGGCAAGCUAGAGUACGGUAGAGGGUGGUGGAAUUUCCUGUGUAGCGGUGAAAUGCGUAGAUAUAGGAAGGAACACCAGUGGCGAAGGCGACCACCUGGACUGAUACUGACACUGAGGUGCGAAAGCGUGGGGAGCAAACAGGAUUAGAUACCCCAGUAGUCCCUGUCUCUUAUAC